UUGACCUCAAAUCAGGUAGGACUACCCGCUGAACUUAAGCAUAUCAAUAAGCGGAGGAAAAGAAACUAACAAGGAUUCCCCUAGUAACUGCGAGUGAAGCGGGAAAAGCUCAAAUUUGAAAUCUGGCAGUUCUUUUGACUGUCCGAGUUGUAAUCUAGAGAAGUGUUACCUGUGCUGGACCAUGUACAAGUCUUCUGGAAUGGGGCAUCAUAGAGGGUGAGAAUCCCGUCUUUGACAUGGACUACCAGUGCACUGUGGUGCGCUCUCAAAGAGUCGAGUUGUUUGGGAAUGCAGCUCAAAAUGGGUGGUAAAUGCCAUCUAAAGCUAAAUAUUGGCGAGAGACCGAUAGCGAACAAGUACCGUGAGGGAAAGAUGAAAAGAACUUUGGAAAGAGAGUUAAACAGUACGUGAAAUUGCUGAAAGGGAAACGCUUGAAGUCAGUCACGUUGGCUAGAAAUCAGCCUUGCUUUUGCUUGGUGUACUUUCUGGUUUGACGGGUCAGCAUCGAUUUCUUUGACCAUUGGAUAAAGUCUUUGGGAAUGUGGCAUCUUUGGAUGUGUUAUAGCCCAUUGUCGCAUAUGAUGGUUGGGAUCGAGGAACUCAGCACGCCGCAAGGCCGGGUUUAUACCAUGUUCGUGCUUAGGAUGCUGGCAUAAUGGCUUUAAUCGACCCGU
RNAcentral lists this ribosomal RNA (674 nucleotides) under Inocybe lacera. Its description in RNAcentral is "eukaryotic LSU rRNA". It matches the Rfam family "Eukaryotic large subunit ribosomal RNA", at positions 1 to 652 of the family's 3401-position model. Lineage: Eukaryota; Fungi; Basidiomycota; Agaricomycetes; Agaricales; Inocybaceae. The record is from RNAcentral.